UGUUUUUUUCUCUUUUUAUACUUUCGUAGUUUAUUAUUUCUAGACUAAUACGAUAGAAUAAUUAGAUUAUCAAUUAGUCUACGUAUUGAUACAUAGACCUUAGUCGUAGCUAUUUUUCUUCCGUAAAACAGCGUGGCCCUGAUUUUUCAAAUAACCAUAACUUUUCAUUCGUUUAUCCAAAUUAGAUGAAACCAGCGCUUAGUUUCGUCUUGUUUUCACCUAUCCAGUUAACCUGUCAUGUCAACUUUUUGAAAUUUUCAAAUUUCGAAUUUUGUUCAGAUUCAUAUUCAAACUUCUUUUGAACAUAACUUGAGUUUCGUAACUCCGAUUUAGUUGAUUCUUUUUGCAAAUCGAAGCUCUUAACCUAAACUUUCUGAUAAGGCCAAAUUCACAUAAUUUUGGUACUGUUAGAAAUUGUUUUAUGUGACAAGAGUUAUUUUCUUGGUUUUGAUGUUUUCCGAACUGUCUUCUUCAUUCUUCCCGAUCUUUUGAGUGAUUGCUUAUGUGUGGUUACUAUUGCUUGCCUACGAUAGAUUGACCGGAGUGUGACGAGUAGAAAUUAUCAAGAGUUUUGAGUGCGAAUCAUCUUCAUCAACAGUACAUGCAAGUUCACACUUUGAUCAUAUCCCUUUCAUACCCAGUUUUUAUGCAUUAGUUUCACCCUCAAACAUUGCAUGAGUAGAAUUGAUAACAUGUGGGUAUUGGGAAGUAGUUGAUGAGGUAGGAACCUAUUGCCCUGCAUUCAAACCUUGGGAGUUACUACUACGUUAUGCUUAUACUGCUAUGCUAUGCUCGUAGACGUGGAUUGGUGUGAGAGAAUUCAUGAAAGAUGCGAGAGUUAUUAUUAUCUAAGGAAACUUAAGGUGGCUACUUUAAUACACAUCUGGGUGGAUUUGUUGGGGCACCUGGAGAACCCAGUGCUUGCCCAAGGGGAUCCUGGAGGACCCGUGUGAUCACCCAAUGGAAUGCCACCCAGGCUCAAAGGGAUCAUAAGAUUAUUCAUGCUAGAAACUUCCGUGUGCAGCCACAAGCUAUUAUGGGCUCUAGCAUAGUUGAGUAAGUUGCAUGAGCUCUUGAAGAGCUGGAUCAACAGGUAGAGGGAUGUAGGUUGGUAUGGUCUACCCGGAGUAAAGAGUUAAUGUUUCUAAAAGACUAUGUCUCGGUCAUCCGUUUCUCAAACACCAUGUAGUGCGAGAAAUCCAACGGAGGCGAUCAAGUCUUGUGGGGAAAAGUGCACAAACCUCUGCAGAGUGUACAAACUAAUCAUGAUUAGCUGUGUCCCUGGUUAUGGACAUCUUGAGUAUCUGGUUUUUGGAUUAUCAUGUUGAUCUCAACACUCUAUUUAAUUAACUUGAUUGGGUUAAUGAUUAUUAUUUUGGGAUUGACUUGGAGGAACCUUCUCAAUAUUUUAUCAACCAACUUUGUAGUUAAAUCAAAUAUAUUCCUUUGUAGUAGGGAAAAAUUGGCUUUUCGCAAAAACUUUAUAACCAUAGAGCCUUUCCACCAGCCAUAUAUGCAUGUAGUGAUAGUUAUUAUUCAUCAUUAUCCUAUGGUGGAAUUUGCCAGUACAUUCAAUGUACUGACCCUUUAUGGCUGCAACAUCUCAUGUUGUAGGAUAUCUUACGACGAGUAAGUGAUACGUUAGGGUUACGAUUUCUACACUCAACUUUGCCGUUGGUGUUGAUGGGAAUCCACAACCUUGUUGUUACUUCCGCUAUUUGGAUUGAGGUAAUAGCAUUUACGUUACUUUAUACAUGUGAUUUAUCUCUGUUAUAAAUCCUCGAGUACUGUGUGUGUGUCAGCAUACCGAUCCAGGGAUGACACUUAAGCACAGAGACUUGACCGUCUGAGGUCGGGUCGCUACAAGAUGGUAUCAGAGCACAUGUUGACUGUAGGACGUGACCCUAGAAACUGGCAAGCCCAUAGGAAGGAAUUUUCUCUAAAACUUUCUCUUUCAAAAAGAUCUUUUACCUCUCUUCUCUUCUGAGCUUAUUCAAAUAUUCCAUUUUAGUUAGACUAUACCCCCUUUCCCCUUUUGACCACACGAAGAUUGAACUAAUGCGACCACUCCAAGAAGUACAAGACAUCGGACAACCAAGACCACUUCGGAAUGAAGAGGAUUUUACCGUGCAUUAUGAUAAUGGAAACUACAACGGUUCAAGACUCCAAAGACUAGGAGGAUUUGAAGGCUCUGAAGAAUUCCCAGAUUGUAUGACCUAGGAAAGCUACCCUUAUGGAACUUGGCAGACUAUGGAAGCUGUCAAUACCCGAGAUCAAGAUGUAUCGGAGAAAGACCGGAACAUGGAGCAUUAGAACUCAAAGUUUUUAUCAAGAAAACCCUAAGGCAGGAGAUGUCAAUUAUGGAAUGAUAGCUCAUGGCAAUGACAAGGGCAGAAACACGGCUAUCCAUGGUAUUAUCGCCCGCUUAUGCUAUUCGCACCGUGCUGAGUUAAGCAUGCAUUUUUUUGGAAGGAUUGGAUGGGAGAAUGCUGAUGGAGCACCUAUCAGCAAAAGACGAAGUUUAACCUUAGCUGGCGUAUCACCGGGAUCUGGAGAAUUACAUCAGGAGUUUUAAGAUGGACCUGCAGGAAGCCGUAUUUUGACAAAGAAGCAUUUCGUGAAGAACUCGGGACCAGAAACUGAAAGUAGCCAAGCUGGAGGAGCAAAACCUCGAGAUACCGGAGAUUCGUCAGGAACUGAAGGACAGUAGGACCAUGGUUCAUGCCAAGGAUGUUGAAACCCAGAAGUUUGGAACGCAACUCCAGAAAUAUUAAAGGACGUCACGAUAGACUUUGCGACAACAGAGAUGAUCUGGCAAAAGAACUUGAGAAGGUCACGCACGAUCAGAAGAAGCCAUCGAAGACAUGAACAAGACAUUAAGAGUUUGGCCAUUUUGAAGAUUUAUUGACCUUUAGAAGACCAAACCCCUGUUAUACCUACGUUAGAUGCGACGUUUGUGAGCUGUCAUUUGUUUGAUGUUUUUCCCGACAACCACAAAUAAAAUCUGCCUUUUCAAAACUUUUGUUUGUAUUGUGUGCAUCCCUCUCGAUCUCUCUUAUCCCACCCCAAAACCCUUGGACCCAGUAGAGGAUGAAUGGAGAUGAACUCAUGUUUUCUGGACCGAUGAGUCAAUUGGAGACAGACCGAUGGAUUCAGAACAUGGAGGAUCACAUGAAGUAUAACUCUGUAGCCAAAAGGAUAUGACCCAGCAUGCUCUGCAGUGUUUUGAAAGAGGUGCUUCUACUUGGUGGAGGAUGUACCAAACCAUCAAUGGAUGGCAAAGAGUAACCACUUGGGAAGAAUUUAAGCUGACUCUGCAAAGAUCUCGUCUUGUGUCCCAGAAGUUGUGGCCUUAUGGAAAGGAUAUGAAGAAACCUUGUGCAUACAAGCUUUGUGGAGAAAUAGGACAAAACCAUAAAGAAAACAAGGACGAAUACCCUCAUAAGCGGAGGAUUACCAAAGGAGUUGGCCGAGGAUCUCAGGGAAAUUUGGUUGGAGAUUUUUCCCAAUGGUUUUGUUGCAGCAAUGGAAGUUCAGUAUACAUUGUUGGGAAAGAUCAGUGAAGCUCAGAAGGAUGACAAAUAGAUUGCUGAUGUAAAAGAGAUGAUGAGCAAAGGAAGGGCCAAAGGUUUUCGUAAGGAUGAGCACGACACCUUAUGGUUCGAGGACCGUGUAUACGUUCCCAAUAAUGCAAAGACCAGGAAGUUAAUACUUCAGGAGGCUAAUGACUCACCAUACUCAAUUCGCCCUGGAAACAUCAAGAUGUAUUUGGAUUUGAAGGACCGUUUCUGGUGGACCGAUAUGAAGAAGGAUAUUCCGGAGUAUGUAGUCGUAGGUGAUGUAUACCAGAGAGUAAAGGCAGAGCAUCAGAAGCCAGCCGGAUUACUACAACCCAUGCCGAUACCCGAAUGGAAGUGGGAUAAGCUUGGCAUGGAUUUCAUUACCGGAUUUCCCAGAACCCGACUGGGAUAUGAUUCUAUCUGGGUAGUAGUUGAUUCGCUUGACCAAAGUGGCUCACGUUAUCCCAGUGAAAACCACCUAUACAAGUGCGAAGUUGGCCAAGAUAUAUUUGACCAGGAUCGUAUGUCUGCAUGGAGUUCCGAGGACCAUCGUAUCAGAUAGAGGAACACAGUUUACCUCAAAGUUUUGGAAUCAGCUGCACCAGACUUUGGGUACUAGGCUAGAGUUCAGUACAGCCUUUCAUCCGCAGACAGAUGGAUAGACCGAGAGAGUCAAUCAGAUUCUGGAGAACAUGUUGAGAGCGUGUGCGCUAGAUUAUGGAUCUAGUAGGAUGAUAAUCUACCUUACGCGGAGUUCUCAUACAACAACAGUUGCCCAAAAAGGAAACCUCGAGACAUGUCAUAAGUAAUAUGUUUUCGUUGUAAUGAAGCAGGGCACUUUUCAAGAGAUUGUCCCAAGGAGAAGGAGACUUGUGAUAAUUAGUUGUUUCUUUGAGAAGUAUAGUAGUAGUAGUAGUAGAAGUAGUAGGAACAACUCUUUUGUAUUGAAGUGUUGAGUUGAGGCAUGUAAUGGAAAUGCAGGAGAUUGUAAUAAUUGGAGAAUCAAUAAAGUUAGCAUCGUUGGUACCGAUAUGGAUUUUAUAAGUUGUUACUCUAUGAAGAGAGAUUUUGACCAUUUUCGAGGAUAUGAGAAAUAUGGUCUAUGGAGGAAUUGGAGCAUUUUAAGUGUGGUAGUACCCUAUGAGAACACUUGAACCCUGGAGAAGAUAAAUGAUAUUCCACGGAGUGGACGUUGGACAAGAUAAUUACUAGUUUUGUCUCGAUAUGUGGCGUAUCCCAAGGAUAUAUGAAGUACUAUUGGAUAUAAACGAGGUAUGAUGUUGGUAAUAUGGAGCAAUUGUAACUCCAUGAUGAGUCGGAGUAAUCACGUCUUAGUUUUGGUACCCAUAGAAGGAAGAGAGACAUUAUAAUUGGAUAGAUUUAAGAAUGCCAGGAAGCUGGAUGUUGGAAUAAGGAUCAGUCACCCUGAUGAUGAAUUCAAGGUUUGCAAGUGAUGAGAUGGGCCAUAACCCACAGGCCCCAGGACUUGCCAAGAAGCAAGCACAUUCUUGCUGAAGGAAAAACCCUGGAAGAAGUUAUGAUUUUAUCAAUAGACGGUUUUAUAGGAGUAACGCAAAACCUGAGAGUUGUGAAGAAACGAUAGACGUUUGUUUGGCUUGCAGAAUCAAUGGAUUUUUCUGAACUUGGUUCGUCGACAAGAGAAACUUCUGCAAUGCUUGUGAGGAUGACCGAGUGUUAGAUUGCGAGGUUCGCUAAACCAUAUAUCAGGUAAUGAUUUGGGUGCAGGAUGGAUUGAUCACCAUACCGACUUACUCUUAUUAUUCGCCUUACUAUAUGGGAUGGUAAAUCUGAGUGACUUGCCUAUAGUGGAGAGACGACGAUCAAAACCUUGUUUGAACCUUAGAAUGGUAUAAGUAUUUUUCCCUUGUACAAGGCAGCUUUUGCCAACCGUAGGUUAUACGGUGAGGAUCAACCAAACCCAUUUCCUGCAAGAGAAACCAUAAAUCGUUGACCACCAUGAGAUAUCGAUAGUUGUUUAAUUUUGGUGCCAGACCCGUCAGCUAAGAAGACCCAGUCAUGGAAGAACCUUACCAAGAUGAAAGGACAGAAGAAUUGUGGUAAAGGUUAUGCCACUACGGAAGAGCCCAGAGAAGGAAUUAUCCUGAAGAUCUGAGAAGACCGACACUGUCAACGAUAAAGAUGAAGUAUAUGAGUAUUGAUGAGACCGUAACGAUGUUUCUAAAGGGUGGUAGCACCCCAAACCCCGGAGACGAUCGAUGGAAAUUGAGAAGACCCCAAACCUAACCUAUUUCUUUCUAGCCUCUCCGAAUCUCGAGGACGAGAUUCAUUUUAAGGGUGGUAGGUUUGUAACAUCCCAAAAUUCUAAAUAUUGGAAUGUUAUAAUAAAUAGAUAGUUUUGCUUGGUUGUAUGAUUGCUUGAGUGAAAUUGAGUGAAAUUCGUAUCUGUUUGAAAGUUAAAUGAGAGGGAAUAAAAGGACUUUUCCAAACUUUCAUUUUGCAUUUUGAUCUCCGUGAAUUCAAAUACUUUUCAAAUACAAAACCCUAGAGAGAAGAUGGCAUGACUUCUUCCAUUUAUUUAAAUGAAAAGGGUUUUGAAAAGAUUUGAAUUUUAUUUGGAAAUAUUUUCCAAUUCAAAAACUUUAAGCAACUCAAUGAUUUUCAUGAGAGAAGAUAAAAUGACUUCUUCAAAACAUAUGAAAUAUGAGUUGGAAGUUUAAAAGGAUCUAAUUUAAAGUCAUUUUGGAAAUUAUUUUCAAUUUGGAGUAUUUGGGUUUUAUUCAAAUUAAUUUUCUCCAAAAAUAUAAUAUAUGGAAAAUAGGGUAACAUGAUUCCCUACAGUAGAAAAUUGGAGAGAAAUAAAUUUGAAAUCAUUUUGGUGUUUUUAAAAUGAUUUUUAUGAGGUUUUAUUGCAGCAGUAGCACUCUUUGCUUUAUUUGAAUUUUUUUGUACUUUAUUUGAAGCUAGAAAAAUAUUCAUGUUGUAGAAAAUCGUUUUCUGAAGAUUUUGAUAUAUAAUAUUCCUAUAUAAAAUUUUUAUUUUAUUUUUCUUUAUUCGGUUUUCCGUCUGUUUCUAUUUAAAAAAUAACAAAAACUGUACAUGUGGCCCAUCACUAACUGCCGCCCAGGUGCACAUCAUAGUACCAGCGGGAGCCCCAUCUUUUUUGUUUCUUUUCCUAUAUGGGCCAGGCCCAGCCAGCCUUUUCAUUUUAUUUUCUUAGGCCGAAUUUUGUUUAAAAAAAACUGCAGCAGCGCGGCCGGCCGAACCGCCUUACACGUUUAGGCCCAUGCGACGCGCCUUCUCUAUUUCGUUUAGUCCCACAUUGCCUUGCCUAGCCUUUGACCCCUAAACCUCUUUUCCACCUAUAAAUAUAGACCCAUAGAGCCUAGAAAAAUCAUCCGACUCGGGUUAAAUCAAUAUUUUGGUUUGACUAGAUUCCUUAAAGAAAAAUAUUUUUCUCCUCUCCGGCGCGACUUUUAAGAAUUGUCCCCUCUCUCCGAAGUUAUCUUUUCUCUGCCUUAUAAGGGUAACUUUCUUUGUUUUUUCUCUUUUUAUACUUUCGUAGUUUAUUAUUUCUAGACUAAUACGAUAGAAUAAUUAGAUUAUCAAUUAGUCUACGUAUUUAUACAUAGACCUUAGCCGUAGCUAUUUUUCUUCCGUAAAACAGCGUGGCCCUGAUUUUUCAAAUAACCAUAACUUUUCACUCGUUUAUCCAAAUUAGAUGAAACCAGCGCCUAUAGUUUCGUCUUGUUUUCAGCUAUCCAGUUAACCUGUCACGUCAACUUUUUGAAAUUUUCAAAUUUCGAAUUUUGUUCAGAUUCAUAUUCAAACUUCUUUUGAACAUAACUUGAGUUUCGUAACUCC
Molecule: long non-coding RNA, 7403 nt
Filed under: Triticum aestivum (bread wheat)
Lineage: Eukaryota; Viridiplantae; Streptophyta; Magnoliopsida; Poales; Poaceae
Description: long non-coding RNA (TAES_LNC018071)
Source: RNAcentral